GCCACCACGAGAGGGUGGGACUCAGGCGGACCGCCGGUGAACAACCGGAGGAAGGUGGGGACGACGUCAAGUCAUCAUGGCCCUUAUGUCCUGGGCUACACACGUGCUACAAUGGCCGGUACAGAGCGCAGCGAGGCCGCGAGGCGGAGCGAAUCGCUUAAAGCCGGUCCCAGUACGGAUUGGAGUCUGCAACCCGACUCCAUGAAGUUGGAAUCGCUAGUAAUCGCGCAUCAGCAUGGCGCGGUGAAUACGUUCCCGGGCCUU
Molecule: ribosomal RNA, 264 nt
Filed under: uncultured Spirochaeta sp.
Lineage: Bacteria; Pseudomonadati; Spirochaetota; Spirochaetia; Spirochaetales; Spirochaetaceae
Description: partial 16S ribosomal RNA
Rfam family: Bacterial small subunit ribosomal RNA
Source: RNAcentral